This 1452-nucleotide long non-coding RNA is filed under the name Anolis carolinensis (green anole). RNAcentral's name for it is "lncRNA (ENSACAG00000034921.1)". Lineage: Eukaryota; Metazoa; Chordata; Lepidosauria; Squamata; Anolidae. The record is from RNAcentral.
AGUGCUCCCCUUCUUUCAUGACCUUUCAUGGCUACUCUUAUUCUUGGUAGGCAGCUGCUUUAUAUAGUUAAACCUUGCAAGAGUGAAGCAACACAUUUGUAUUGCCUACGGAAGUGCAUUCUUCAUGGACACGCAUGCAUGGAUUCAUGGAUGUGCAUGGUUGCACAUCACCCACUGUAAUGCAGGUUUUCAAGCACAUUUGGUGACACAACAUCCGUUUCACCAAUGAGUUGGGUUAUCUAACUACCAUGUCACUCCAUCAGCGUAAAGGUUUGCUCCGUCUUCUUCACGUAGGGCUCUAGGCCCCAGAUAUCGACAUGGAACCUCAUGAGGAAUUUAUGGAAUCAUCCUCUUCGUAACUCCCCCAGAGACAUGCAAUUUAGAACACUGCUAUCAUUCACGCUUAUGCAAUUUGCUGAUUUUUUCCUCAGUAUAGUUGUUGGCAUUGUUUUUUUUUUUUUUUACAAAACCCAAAGUCUAUUUUUAAGAUGCUUAUUUUAAGACCAAGUAAGUUUAGAGUUGAAGGGGGAAAUUUGCAUUCUCUUGAAAAAACCUUGCAUAUGCAUUGAAAUCUGUGUUUGCAGACAUCUCUCUGCGGCGUCUCCUUGUACAGCCGCAACCAUGGGAUAAACAAAUCAGAAAUUGAUACGGAUUGGAAAGAGGCCGAUCAGUCCACUUCCAAUAUGGUAGAAACAGGAGGGGGAGGGAAAGUACUGUAUAUACUCAAGUAUAAGCCUAGUUUUUCAGCCCUUUUUUUAAGACUGAAAAAGCCCCCCUCGGCUUAUACUCGGGUUAGGUUCCUGGUUGGCUUAUAUUUGGGUCAUCUUAUACUCGAGUAUUUAUUUAUUUAUUUAUUUACAGUAUUUAUAUUUCGCCAUUCUCACCCCAAAGGGGACUCAGGGCGGAUCACAUUACACAUACAAGGCAAACAUUCAAUGCCAAACAUAGAACAAAGACAGAGACAAACACAGGCUCCGAGCUGGCCUCGAACUCAUGACCUCUUGGUCAGAGUGAUUUGUUUCAGCUGGCUGCAGCCGGCUGCUCACCAGCCUGCAUCACAGCCCGGGCUGUGGUACAUUUAUUAUUUUUCUCUAUUAUUAUUGGUAUUACUACAUUUAUUAUUUUUCUCUAUUAUUGUUGCUACUAUUACAUUUAUUUUACUUUAUUUUUUAUUAUUAAUAAUACAUUUAUUAUUUCACUCUGAGAUUAUUAUUAUUAUUGCAUUUAUUAUUUUACUCUAUUUAUUAUUACUUGUAUUAUUUUCCUGUAUUUAUUAUUAUUAUUAUUACAUGUACAGUAGAGUCUCACUUAUCCAACGUUCUGGAUUAUCCAACACAUUUUUGUAGUCAAUGUUUUCAAUACAUCGUGAUAUUUUGGUGCUAAAUUAAUAAAUACAGUAAUUACAACAUAAUAUUUCUGCGUAUUGAAUUACUUUUUCUGUCAAAUUUGUUG